This 74-nucleotide transfer RNA is filed under the name Candidatus Levybacteria bacterium RIFCSPHIGHO2_01_FULL_40_16. Its description in RNAcentral is "tRNA-Gln". It matches the Rfam family "tRNA". From Rfam's summary of the family: Transfer RNA (tRNA) molecules are approximately 80 nucleotides in length. Their secondary structure includes four short double-helical elements and three loops (D, anti-codon, and T loops). RNAcentral also lists the same sequence under 2 other names. Lineage: Bacteria; Candidatus Levyibacteriota. The record is from RNAcentral.
UGCUGGAUCGUCUAAUGGUAGGACAACGGACUCUGAAUCCGUUUAUCUUGGUUCGAAUCCAGGUCCAGCAGCAA